RNAcentral lists this long non-coding RNA (2216 nucleotides) under Ananas comosus (pineapple). RNAcentral's name for it is "long non-coding RNA (ACOM_LNC003429)". Lineage: Eukaryota; Viridiplantae; Streptophyta; Magnoliopsida; Poales; Bromeliaceae. The record is from RNAcentral.
AUAUUUACAGAGAACGAAUUCAGAUAUUCUCGGAUUCAACAUCAAUUAUUAAAGCGAUCUACUACAGGUCCAACCAAUCUGAAUCGAUCACCUGGGAUACUAUAAUGAAGCUCAAAACGUUUCAGCCCUUUAUUGACGAAUGUAACGCCUUCUCUUUUAGAUAGAACUUUUGCUUCUCCAGAAAUACUAUGUAAACUGAUCAACUAGCUAAUUGGAGUCUAGGGGUGUCAACGAGUCGAACACGAGCGAGCUGGGGCUGGCUCGUAUUCGGCUCGUUUAAUAAACGAGCCAAACAUUAGCUAGCUCGUUAAAGUAUCGAGCUAAAAAAUUCAGCUCGUGUUCGGCUCGUUAAUAAAUGAGCCGAACACGAGUUGGCUCAUGAGCUGGCCAACGAACAAUAAGUUAAAAGGAUUAUAUUGGAUAUAUAUAAAAAAAAAAAUUUAUAAAAUCUUAUCCGUUAGACUUUGAUCUAAUGGUUGAAACUUUAAUUACAUAUAAAUGAGUCUUUUUAUAAUUGAGUUCACCUUUAUAUUUUUAUUUUGCUAAAAAUUAAAUAAUAAAAAUAUAUAUAUGUAUAUACAUAAUUAUUUAUUUAUAUAAUAAAUAUAUAUAUAUAUAUAUAAAUUUAAUAAAUUAUAUAAAUAUAAAAUAUAUGUAUUCGAGCUGUUAUCGAGCCGAACACGACCGAGCGGACCCCAGCUCGUGUUCGGCUCGUUUAUUAAACGACCUGAAAAAUUCAGCUUAUACUCAGCUCGUUUACUGAAUGACACUACAACAGAAUUAGAUUAUAGGAACACAUGUUCAGGACACUUUUGUAUAUGUGUCCAAUUUAUACUAAAACUUAAAAAAAAAAUCUACUAAUGCCUAAAUAUAAAGCCCAAUUCAACAAAAAAUAAAAUAUUUUUCUACUCAACUUACCCCACUCAGCCCAUUCGGCCCGAUUACAAACAAAAAAGAAAAAAAUAAUAAAAAUUGAUUACCAUCUCCCCUUCUCCUCUCACUCAAUCCACUGAAAUCCUAGACGAAGAACCCUUCCCUCUCCUCCUCCUCCGCCACCGCAGUCAAUGAGGUGGAGUUCUGGCGGUUGCUAAAUUCUUAAAUAAGUGUUGAUAAAUUAGCAGCACUCUUUUAGGUUAUACCGACAUUCUUUAACUGUCACUAUAUAUCUAGCGACCCAUGCCUCUCUGCCACCGCAGUCAAUGAGGAAGAGUUCUGACGGUUGCUAAAUGCUUAAAUAAGCAUUGAUAAAUUAGCAACACUCUUUUAGGUUAUAUCGACACUCUUUAACUGUCACUAUAUAUCUAGCGACCCCACAUAUAACAACACUUUUUAAAAGUGUCGGUAAUUUAGUCACAAGCACUUUUUUUUACCUGUACCGACAUUUAAAAGUGUCGUUAUACACCGUUUUUCUUGUAGUGUGAGUGAUUCGAUCUCGAGCUCAUUUCGAACCGAACACGAGCUGGCUCGCGAACAGCGAGCUAGAUUGCCACCCCUCCUGGGGUAUGUCUAGCAAAAAUAAUUUAAGAGCUAAAAUAAAAAACUUAAUUUAUUUGACUAAAUAUUGACACAUUGUUGAUGUAAAAAUAAUAUAGUAUUUUAAUUGUUAGCACAUCAUCAAUAACACUACUACUACAUCACUUUCAUAUAAUUAGUAAUAUAUUAAUAUUUAAUUAACUAAAUUAGAUUAUAAAAUUAGAUUGUAAUAAUUUUAAAAUUCAAUUCAGAAAUUAUAUUAAAUUAAAAUUUAAGAGCUAAAAUAAUCACCUAAAUCAUAGUUUGAAGACCAAACAUGUAAUUUACCCUCAAAUUUUUUUGUUGCCUUCAUUAUUUUUGGACGUUACAUAAUCUAUAGAGUCGGUCAUCUGUUUACCCUGCACUCGGACUAGAUGAGAGUGCUUAAGAGGGAUAAUUUCGUUUAAUUAUUCAUCUUCAAGGUGUCUAAGUGAAAUGUCGCGCACAAAAUAAAUAAUAAUAAAAAUGUAUAUAAUUUAUCUGAGCUAUAAAUCUUUUUAAAUCAGCUAGCCAACUUUUAAAAUUUUAAUUUUUCUAGUCAAUCGUUUAGUUUAUUUAAUUUAAAUUAGUCAACCACACGUUGACUUAAAAAUUUGAAUAUAUUGUUUAUCUUUUAAAAUGUUAGUUAGAAUACUUCAUAUAAUGUUGAUACCCAUAACAAAUUUAUUAAAAUAAAUAAUUAAAUCAAAUAAAUCAAAUAAUUC